This 254-nucleotide ribosomal RNA is filed under the name uncultured Sporocytophaga sp. RNAcentral's name for it is "partial 16S ribosomal RNA". It matches the Rfam family "Bacterial small subunit ribosomal RNA", at positions 524 to 776 of the family's 1533-position model. The record is from RNAcentral. Lineage: Bacteria; Pseudomonadati; Bacteroidota; Cytophagia; Cytophagales; Cytophagaceae.
UACGGAGGGUGCAAGCGUUGUCCGGAUUUAUUGGGUUUAAAGGGUGCGUAGGCGGCUGACUAAGUCAGUGGUGAAAGGCAGCAGCUCAACUGUUAGCAUUGCCAUUGAUACUGGUCAGCUUGAGUGCAGUCGAGGUAGGCGGAAUUGAAGGUGUAGCGGUGAAAUGCAUAGAUAUCUUCAAGAACACCUAUUGCGAAGGCAGCUUACUAGGCUGUAACUGACGCUGAUGCACGAAAGCGUGGGGAUCGAACAGG